CUCCAAAUCCUCAGCAAAUUCAAAUUCUUCUUCCUCCAUCAUUGUCAAAACAACACCAGAGAUCUCUCCGGCAUACCACUUCCUGGUGGGGAGGCUUCUGGGAGAGUCGAGCAGGGUCGUGAAGAGGCCAAGAUGUAGAGCGCUUAUGAGAAUGUUUGUUUCAAAGACCGGAGAGGAAGAUAUCUAAUAUGAACCUACAUGACAAGAUCAGCUUCUUCAGGCAUAAUUUUCAAUUGGAAAAGCAAGGAAAGAUUUACAAAGUGGAUGCAGCAGUUGGGGCUUGGAGUGUAGUCCUGCUGGGGUUUAACUACUCCUGGAAGAAAAGAAGGGAAUUGUCAAA
Long non-coding RNA from Seriola aureovittata, 340 nucleotides. RefSeq lists it as uncharacterized. The record is from RefSeq and is a predicted model, not a curated record. The transcript is spliced from 3 exons. Lineage: Eukaryota; Metazoa; Chordata; Actinopteri; Carangiformes; Carangidae.